CGUGACUCCGAGGUGCCGGACUCCUCGCCGGACUCCGCACCUCCCGCGCCCCCUCCGAUCGAAUCCGAUUGGGCGCCGAUCAUGGAGUUCGCCGCGGCGGACAUCUUUCAACACUCACCUUUUGGCGACAUCUUGAGUUCGCUAAAGUAUCUCUCGUUGUCAGGAGAGCCCUGGCCGGACUACGGUCAGGACGGUUGGGAUGCGGACGACGAAGAAAUUCAAAGCCCACCCACCACCCACUUGGUAGCCACUAUCGACGAUCUAACCGACAUGCUAGACUACGACUCCGAAGACAUCGACGGUAUGGACGACGAUGCCGGAGACGACCAAGAACCAGCGCCUACCGGGCACUGGAAAGCCACCUCAUCGUAUGCCAUUUUUUUUUUGAAAAGGGGUGCAACCCCAGCCUCUGACAUAUACAUGGUGGAUAUCCCAAAGGAUGGGAAUGGCGAGGGAAUAGCUGAGGGUGACCCCUCCAAGAAACAGCCCAAGCGCAGGCGCCAGCGGCGCCGCUCUAAAUCCCGCCACAGCAAGAAUGAAGAUUCCGGCAUCGGAGACAAUAACACCCCAGACAGUACCGAAGACAACCCACUCCAGCAAAAUUCAGCACAGGAGGACGGAGACGCCAGUCCUCAUGAGAGAGCGGCAGAAGAAGAGGUAGAUGAUUAUAUGCCUCCCUCCGAAGACGAGGCGAGCCUCAACGACGAUGAAUUCGUCGUACCUGAGGACCCCGUCGAACAAGAGCCACUACACCAUGCACCAGAAUUCCCUACCGAUGUGUGUUGGGAAAAAUCAAUUAUACUGACACACAGUCGGUCGGGAAAAGUUGCAUUGGUCAGUUGGUCGGAAAUACAUACUUGUGGCGUCCAACAGUCGGUCGGAAAUGCUUUUAUAUUUCACGUCUGCUGAUCGGUCGGUAGUAAAGGACUUCCAUCGAACUAUCGGUCGGCAAAUUUUUCCGACCAACUGCUGGUGGCUAAUUGGGCCGAUCAGUCGCUCACGCGGGAACGGUGAAAUUGUUGGCGCCGAAAUGAGCCCAGCCCAUGAAAAACCCAUCUCCCCUUUUCCCCUUCUCCCCCCAAAUCCCUCAGAUCUGGAACACAGAAUCUACAUCCGCCGCCGCCCACGCUCGCGCUCUCUCUCCGCCGCACACGCUGCUCCCCGCGGCCGGCCAGGUGCUCUCCAGCCGGCGAGGCCGCCGCACCCUCUCUCCCGCCCACCGCACCCUCUCUCCCGCCCACCGCAUGUCCACCGCCGACCCCACUCCACACAGCCGCCGGUGGAACCCUACUCCAUACUGCUGCCGCGCCUCCACCGACAGGAGCUUUCUCCGCCGCCCCCUCCGUCUCCAGGUAUUCUCUCCUCCUGUCCGUUUGCCCUUCCCUUCACCUCGCUCACCACACUGCCAUGCACGCACAGAUGGUCUUGCCGUUGCCGUCCAAACCCUACAGGAGGUUGGCCUUUUCGUCCGCGCCCAAACUCGUCUAUCUCCUGGAGGUGCCGCCGGCAAGAAGGUAAUGCUCCAAGACGCAUCUUCCCAGAUCCAACCAGGACAGUGGGUUGAUUUUAGUCCUAAUGCCAGGUCUUUAGCACCUCUGGUGUUUUUUCCGAGUGAGACAACAAUUUCUCUUCUGAAGAUUUGUUUUUUCCUUUCACAUGUGCAUGCUUAUGUUAUGUGUGGAUGCUGAAAGCUAAUUUACACGUACUAUGUGCUUUGAGAAGAAAACAGUGUAGUUGUUAUGCAUGAGCGCACCUUCAGCAUAGUGGUCAAUUUGGUUGACCUUGUUUGUCAAAAGAAAUUUGCUUAGUGGAUUGUCAUAAGUGACUCACAUAGUGCUGAAACUUGGAACAUAGAACUUAGCUAUAAAUCUUAACUAUGAUGGUACUUUGGGGAAAAUUGCACAUUUAGAUUGAUUUUAGUGACUUAUUUAUUGUUCUGAACCUUGGUUUGUCACCAUAGUUUAGACUUUAGACUCUUGAGUGUUGUUCUGGCUCUGAAAAGUGGGAUCCUUGAGAGGCUAGUCUGUGCAAUAUAUGAAAACGCUAAUGAUGUCCUGUGAGAACUUGGGAUCAUGUACAAGAACAAUAAUUAUGAGUGUAGCAAUGAUACAUUCUAAGGCUAACCUCUUGCCUCUGCACAUAAAUUAAGAUACCAAUUGAGCACGACACCUUUAGUUCCUAGUCAUCAUGAUAAAAGUAUUGAACCUGACAUCUACAAAAAUAUAUUUCCUUGCAUAAUCUCUUGCUUUUCCUUGAUGAGCAGCAACUUAUAUUGAACUUUUAUAUUAAAGCAGUGCAUGGCAAAAGAAGGCGGCCAAACCUACUAACCAGGAAUACCACUAACCAGCGGGAUCCGAACGAUGUGUGGAUUUCCAAAAAGGUAUUUUCUUAUAGUGUUAGAUACUGUUUGAUAUUGAUUUGAUGAAUGCUUGCUAAACUUAGUUAUUUUCUAUGAAGUUCAAAUCCUGCAACACCUAUUUUGUUUCCUUUGAUCCACAUGUGAGGCAUAGAAAGGGUUCAAUUUUGAUUUUUGUAUCAGUUUCAGAGUUGUUCUGUUCAGAUUUUGAAUUUUCUAGUUUUUUUGUGGACAGUGUGUGCGGCAUUUAAAUUCACUAUUAAUUAUGUUGCAGCUAGCCGACAAAGGUUGGAUGGAUGCGCCUAGGUACAACACUCUGUAUUUUAAAUAUGUUAGAUGUUAGUACUUGCUGCAAUCUUUCCCGACCGACUAUGCAGGCUUUUAGCUUCAUUUUACUUGAAUGGUUGUGCAGACUUUUAGCUUCAUUCUUAAAAAGCUAUAGUUAAGUAAAGCAUAUGCUCUGAAAUUGUUUAUGAGAUGAAGGGGGGAGGGACUGUUAGUUAAGAACAAUUGUAUAUCUAUAAGUCCAGCAAAGGACAAAAUGUACAGUUAAACAUUUGGAUUUAAGCAAUAGAUCAACAGAGCAUUUGUUCUGCAGUUUAAUGACGCUAUAAGAUAAAGAUUCUUCUAAAUGGCUGAAAUUAAAUUUUACUUGAAUGAUGUGCUGAAAUCAACCUCUAUACACCUAGGCACCAUUUUUUAACAGAAUUGAUAUGAUGCUUGCUCUGUGAAUGACUAUUUUGUUGCACGCUUGUCUCCGAAUAAAAUACAAGGGGUUAGAAAUACAGGCAACACUUCAUAAAUCGUUCCUUAUUCCUAAUCUUAGGAAUCAUUGUGUUGUCUUCAUACUUCACGGGUUUUGUGCUAGCCGUGAUAUGUUUUUGGCCACAUGCCUUAUUCAACUAGGUACAUCCGCUGCUCCGAGACUACGAGAAGUUCCAUGCCUCGGUGAGGCUGGUACCUAUUUUUUAGGACUAGGUGUGCUAUGAUUCUCACUUCCUACUGAUUUGUCCACUUAUUCUCUGUCCUACUCCUCUCUUUUGAUUUAAUCCCCUGAAUCUCUAAUCUUUAUUUGUGCAGAUUCUCUUACCUAUGCCUACAAGGUGUUUGAUGAAAAUCCAAGCAAGCUGCAAAGAAUAUUCAUCUAUGUAAUAUCUAUGUUCCAUUAUCUCUGCUUAAUAACUUUUUCUGAAAUUUAGUUGCAUUCAAUGAUUGCUUCCUCUCAUGCCAAUGCGGCAAUAUCUCUCAUCUGAAUUCUCAUUUAUCUUUUCCAGUUACAUAGUGGCUUAUGUGCUACCUGGAUGUUGGAGUAGCAGUAUGUGCGAAAAUGCUUUUCUUUUUUAGAGCAUUUGUAUGCCACAUCUGGUAGCGUUGGUCCUUUCUAAAGGCCAAUAUGAACAAGCAACUUAUAUAUGUCAAAUCGCAUGGGUACUUUACUUGGUACUUUCAGGUUUUGAUAUUACUCUAACUAGAAUUUCCUUUCAAACAUUGCAAUUAGCUUUUAUCAUAGCAUUGCAAAUAUUGAGAAAUUUGUUCAUCAUACCUCCCAGGUAAACUAGAAGUAUUGUACUAGUCAAGCAGAACCGUGUUCCAAUUGCAUCCUGGGGUUUAAUGCUAUGCAUUAUACAAGUUUUUAUGGUGCCAUUGUAUUUAUGAAUAAAUGUAAUCACAACUUUACAUUUUGCAAGUUCUUUUCAUUUUUGCAGGAAAAUGCAAGAGGACGAGGAAUCAUGAAGCCAGUGGCUCGGGAUCUUUUGUUUAAUGGUGACUGAAUCGUUGGAGAUGCAUUUUAUCCAUCAUUUUGUAAACCCGCAUUGUGAUUGAGACAAUGAACCAUAUGGUUCCUUUUUAAUUAGUUACGUUAGUUUAUGGGAAAUUUGGAUGGUCAUUAUGUUAAUAAUGGAUGAACUAUUUAUAUGUGAAAUUAAUUAGUAUUUUUUUAUUGUUUGGUUAUGGUUCGUUAUUGUUGGAGAUCCAUGUACUUGUUAUGAAGUAACUUGAUUGAUAUUCUGUUGGUAAUGCAAAUGUAUGCUAUGGAAGUGCUAUUGGAUAUUGG
RNAcentral lists this long non-coding RNA (4412 nucleotides) under Triticum aestivum (bread wheat). RNAcentral describes it as "long non-coding RNA (TAES_LNC026768)". Lineage: Eukaryota; Viridiplantae; Streptophyta; Magnoliopsida; Poales; Poaceae. The record is from RNAcentral.